AACGAACGCUGGCGGCGCGCCUAAUACAUGCAAGUCGAGCGAGAAGACGUAGCAAUACGUUUGUAAAGCGGCGAACGGGUGAGGAAUACAUGGGUAACCUACCCUCGAGUGGGGAAUAACUAGCCGAAAGGUUAGCUAAUACCGCGUACGCUCCUUGGACUUCGGUUCAGGGAGGAAAGCGAUACCGUGGGUAUCGCGCUCUUGGAUGGGCUCAUGUCCUAUCAGCUUGUUGGUGAGGUAACGGCUCACCAAGGCUUCGACGGGUAGCUGGUCUGAGAGGACGAUCAGCCACACUGGCACUGCGACACGGGCCAGACUCCUACGGGAGGCAGCAGUAAGGAAUAUUGCGCAAUGGGCGAAAGCCUGACGCAGCGACGCCGCGUGGGGGAUGAAGGUCUUCGGAUUGUAAACCCCUUUCGGGAGGGAAGAUGGAACGAGCAAUCGUUCGGACGGUACCU
This 458-nucleotide ribosomal RNA is filed under the name uncultured bacterium. RNAcentral describes it as "bacterial SSU rRNA". It matches the Rfam family "Bacterial small subunit ribosomal RNA", at positions 29 to 480 of the family's 1533-position model. The record is from RNAcentral.